RNAcentral lists this transfer RNA (72 nucleotides) under Ovis aries (sheep). It matches the Rfam family "tRNA". Rfam says of the family: Transfer RNA (tRNA) molecules are approximately 80 nucleotides in length. Their secondary structure includes four short double-helical elements and three loops (D, anti-codon, and T loops). The record is from Rfam by way of RNAcentral. Lineage: Eukaryota; Metazoa; Chordata; Mammalia; Artiodactyla; Bovidae.
UCCCUUGUAGCCAAGUUGGUAAGGAAUCUGCCUGCAGUGCAGGAGACCUGGGUUCAAUUCCCGGGUGGGGAA